CUGUGCUGUGCUGUGUGUUACCGUUCAAGUAGUUGAGCAAGUACUGUCCCGGCACGUCGUAUCACGCAACGGGAUGGGGCCCCGGAAAAGUUUAACGUACAAUAGAAGGCUCAGGUUUAGUUGUGCUAGGUUGUUGAUUUGUUGCGAUCCUUACAAUACUUAAUUUAGCAGAUAUUUCGAUUAAUGGUUUAUCGUUUAAAAUAGGAAAUAUAUUAUCAUUAUUAAAUAGUUGAAAAACAAUUCAUACGAACGGAUCAUUUGGAAUAAUGAUUUAAAGUUUAAAUUAGUUUGCCUUUAUUGUUGCGCUUUAUUUGAAAGUAAUAUGUGACUAAAUCCGAAAACACACACACAGCUGCAUACCAUAUUGCGCCAUCGAGCGAAGUGCAAUACUGGGCACUACAUAUCCGAUCCGGAUGCUUGCUUCAUUAGGCGUCAAAGUGUAAACUGAACAAAUAUGUAUCAUGUAUUCGCGUACAUUUGAGCGCCGCCAUAAUUAGGAUAGUAGCUAACCACUGACCACCGCUGACCGCCGCUGGAAGUCCAAAAUUAUAUUUAUGAACAAGCAAGCAACAAGUGUAAACAACUACAGAGUGGCGUGUGCACAUGUGUGGUGACGCCCUGCAUGAUGCGAUGAUGGAUCGACUUAAAGGUAAGUGGCACGUUUGCAGCGUGUUGGACAUUAUACGAUGUGCCUUGCCCUGAUACCACCCAUGGUUGGCUGAUGUUGGCCAAUUAGCACCACCGACCGUUAGGCCGUUAUAAUAGUCCGCCGCGCGUCAAAGUGAUGUGUUGCGACCUGACUGAGUACUACUACCCAGUGGAGCGUACGAUGGGACCCAUCUCCCUUACCUGUGUAAUUUACCUUCCCAGUGUUUUCAUAAAUGGUUAAUUUGAUUCUGAUUAUGUUUGAAGUUCAAUUUAUCAGUUCGAGCGAACACGCAAUUGCGCGCGGUUUGAUGAUAAAGAUCGUGUAGCGAUUAUGGUUAAGCUGUUGGCCCCUACUGCAUUCCCAACCGGACAUAACUUUGUAAAGAGCACUAUUUUAUCCAUUUUUGAAUGCAGAUUUUCUGACAUUCCGGUUUAUAGAGUGCAAAGAAAGCUGAUUUUAGCAAAUAAGUACAAUUUAAAUACAUACAAUCACGGUCACCCAGAAGACGCUGAACUUGAGCAUGAAACAGCACAAGGUAGAUUGCAAAACAGUAAACUAAAUAUGUACCCAACGAAGAGAGAGGAAUGGGAGGGAGGGAACAACCUUUACUUGCUGGGUAUGAUAGAUGCUCUCUCUCCAUGCGAUGCGCUAGAUCGGCCGGGUGCUCUACUCAUUCAAACGGACAAACUUCAUUACAUCAUCGGCAGCAGCCACCCACCCCACCCAGCGCUCUCUCCCGGACUGUUGUAAAGUCCAUGGUUUUGUGUAAAGGGGAACCCACUAUUGGCUUGCCAUAUGCUUGCCACUGGUGUAGUCGUCGUCAACUAGCAGUGUGAUAUGCGCCUCCAUACAUCACUACCACUCGUUUCUUCUCCGGUGCCUGUCCGCGGACGCUCAAGUUCGCCACGCUUGACGGUGGUCACCAAAACAAACAAUAUAAAUUUAGAUAUUACUUCACUAAUAGGAUGGUGGGGGGAUGCAGCAAAGCAGCAAAUGGCUGUGGAGAGGGUCAAAUUAUGCGAAAGCAGCAACUACAUGGUGAAGGUGGUGAUGGGCGGUCUUUUUUUAGUGGUUCGCCGGACAUCCUUCUGUUGAGGGGGUGUAAUGAGAGAAAAUUGAAGAUUAAUAGUUUUAGCAGAUGACUACACUACACUUGGGAGAGACUUGAUUCAACUGGUUCCAUGGUCCUUAAAUGCGUUUUUGAUUAACACGUUAAAACCUUCAAUGGAAUUGAAAAAUUCGUUUCUAAAAUACAGUUACCUCUCCACAUCACCUCGUGCCAUUCGUGCCUCCCCCAUGCGGCCCAGUGUACCAGGGUGUGUAUUUUCAAUGUCAGCAAUAUGAUGUCAUGCGGAGGUAAAGCUGAUAUCGAAAUACAUGUUCGCAAAGCGGUGGUACGUGUCAUUCGCAAGACAGGCGCGACCAAUAAAAGUGGUAAAUUGACCAAAAGAAACAACAGCAACAACAAAAACUGAGAAGAACCUGUCCCGAUUCUAUUCGGGGCGACAGCAGACAUUUCGACUAGUACAUAGCGAUUCAACAAGGGGUUAAUAAAGUGGCGAUAAGUUCGCAUCAGAAAGAUGAUGAUUGGAAGAUAACAAUCGGUUUUUUGUAGGUCAAGUGACGGCAGCGGCAGUCUUGGGCGUUGUUGGGACACGGGGACGGAACAUAACGCCGUUUGAUAUCGGCCGGUUCGUUUAGAUACGAUAACGAGUACAGUCUUUAUCAAGAAUAUGCAUUUAAAAUUAAACUGCAAUUAUUUUUUCAAUAUAAAGAUUGAAUGCAUUCUGGUUAGCAUUGAAACAAAGCAAAUUAAUGUCCCAUAUCCUUAAGGUGCCUCAACUGCUCAUAAACACCUUGACUCCAGGAUGAGUCAUCCUGGAAAAGGGGUUGGAAAACGUUAUUCCUCACAAAGAAGAAAAAAUAGUAUCCCAGUUGGGUGGUAAGGUGUGUAUGUGUUUGUGCCCCACAACCACCACCUUAAAAUCCACUUCUUGCUUGUCGCGUCUUUUCUCCUUCUUCCGUACUGACCUUUGGCGGCGCACUUUGCAGAAGCAAACAUCGUCGCUUCGUCCUCUUUCAACCACAGUGUUGGUGCGCACUUUCCCUUUUCAUGCGCACUUUCAUCCUUGGCAGGCUAAACGUAAACAAAGGCUCGUCACCAGCACUACAAGCAGUAGGCGACGAAUCAGGACACUAAAAUGGCGAACACAGAGGGAACGCGGUGGAGGCGCAUGACGAGGGCCGUUGCAUGACAUUUAUAUCAUACAUAAAACGGCUUCAGAGAAUGGUCAGCUUCGUUUUCCCGGGGUGAAGGCAGGAGUAAUAAAAAAACGGAAAAUCAAAUCCAACACAGGUGGGCGAAGAAGGACCUUCGUGGGUUGCGUUAGCUUUCCCUAUUAUCCGCUUGAUGUUAGAUUAAAAUUCAUUUAAAUGAGCACCACUCGCGACGGUAUUCCGUUGGACUGGUGAGCUCCUUUCCAUUCGGCAAACCAUUUGAAUUGCAUUUGGGGGGUUUUUUUUCCCCUUGUCGAUUGCGUGUGGUCACCACGUAACACGC
Molecule: long non-coding RNA, 3209 nt
Organism: Anopheles coluzzii
Lineage: Eukaryota; Metazoa; Arthropoda; Insecta; Diptera; Culicidae
Exons: 2
Source: RefSeq, a predicted model, not a curated record